Molecule: unclassified non-coding RNA, 240 nt
Filed under: soil metagenome
Description: partial contains 5.8S ribosomal RNA, internal transcribed spacer 2, and large subunit ribosomal RNA
Source: RNAcentral
AACGGUCUAUACCUGCGGUACCUGCGGAAGGAUCAUUACCGAGUUAUCAACUCCCAAACCCCUGUGAACAUACCCGAGCGUUGCCUCGGCGGGACCGCCCCGGCGCCCCUAGCGGCCCGGAACCAGGCGCCCGCCGGAGGACCCAAACUCUUGCUUUAAACAGUGGCAUACUCUCUGAGUCUCACAAACAAAAAAUAAAUCAAAACUUUCAACAACGGAUCUCUAGAUCGGAAGAGCACA